GGAGUGUAGUGUGCGGAUUGAAGAGAACGCUUCGUGAAUGUCCUUCGCGUCUUCGAACCCCAGGUCAAGCACCAGAGAAUGUCUGGGAGUGAGCAAGGUGCCGGUGUUGCUUCUGUGGAUCAUCCUCCUGCUUGUACAGCCCUGGGGGGACCUAGGAAUGCCCCUCUGCUGCAGGGAGCCUUUUUACUUCCUUGCAGCCCUCUGAAGAUACUAGGAAACAAAAAUGAUGACACCCUCUACACCCCAGAUGAUCUCCGGUGAGUACUGUAUUUGCUUCUUUCUGCAGUUGGAGGUUUUGAGAGAAUUCAGUGGUCUCCAUGUGUGAGGGUAGCUGUGUGACCAUAUGAAUAUGUUGCAGGGAGGAGGUAGUGGGACUGUCUCCUGACCCAGCCCCUAGUCUCGACAGAUAUAUUUUGGUCACCGCUGUCUCCAAUACCUAGAAUAGGGAGGCAUAUAAUAACAAAUGAUGACUACAGCUACAUGUAAAUAGUGCUUACUCUGUGCCAGAUAUUGGUUUAAAUGCUUUAAGUAUGUUAGCUUAUUUACUCUUUACACCAAUCCUAUAAGAUAGACACGACCGCCAUGUAUGGAUGUGAACGUUGUACACUGCAUAAGGAUCCCACAUCUACAAAGGCGGUACUGUAUUCACAGCCUGGACAUUGUAGAUUUGCGUAUUUGUCGGUUUCCAGCAGAUGGCAGUAAAGUAUCUUGUUCUGAUAAAAUCAAGCCUUAGAAGGUAGAAGGAACUUAAGGAAGGUCUUUUUCUUUUCUGUUUUUUUGAGACAGGGUCUUGCUCUGUCCCCCAGGCUGGAGUGC
Molecule: non-coding RNA, 816 nt
Organism: Macaca mulatta (Rhesus monkey)
Lineage: Eukaryota; Metazoa; Chordata; Mammalia; Primates; Cercopithecidae
Source: RefSeq, a predicted model, not a curated record